RNAcentral lists this ribosomal RNA (207 nucleotides) under uncultured bacterium. RNAcentral's name for it is "partial 16S ribosomal RNA". It matches the Rfam family "Bacterial small subunit ribosomal RNA", at positions 568 to 774 of the family's 1533-position model. The record is from RNAcentral.
CGCGCAGGCGGCUUGGCAAGUCGGGUGUGAAAUCCCGGGGCUCAACCCCGGGACUGCAUUCGAUACUGUCAGGCUAGAGGUAGGUAGGGGAGGAUCGGAAUUCCUGGUGUAGCGGUGAAAUGCGCAGAUAUCAGGAGGAACACCGGUGGCGAAGGCGGAUCUCUGGGCCUUACCUGACGCUCAGGCGCGAAAGCUAGGGAGCGAACA